RNAcentral lists this small RNA (321 nucleotides) under Drosophila mojavensis. Its description in RNAcentral is "GI26716". Lineage: Eukaryota; Metazoa; Arthropoda; Insecta; Diptera; Drosophilidae. The record is from RNAcentral.
UACAAUAUCGAAUAAUUAUCGUGCAAUGUUCUUUUCAUUAUCAUUCGUCCGUUUUGGCACUUCAUUCGUCGUUUAGUUGCUUCUCAUACACGAACGAACGUGAACGUGGUACGCGCGGCGCAUAUUAUUUUUCGUUUAGUGAAAGUGUAAGUAGUGUUGGCUCGCUGUGGUUGUUGUAGAAGCAGCAGCAGCAGCCCAAGCAGUAGCGACGUUUUGUGCACAAUACAUACACGGCCGCCAUAUUAAAAUGGCAUAAAAAGCCGUUUGACAGUUACAAUUUAAUCGUAUUGACGAGUGUGUUGUGUCUGUGUGUGUUACCAA